Microcebus murinus (gray mouse lemur) is the source of this 267-nucleotide non-coding RNA. The record is from RefSeq and is a predicted model, not a curated record. Lineage: Eukaryota; Metazoa; Chordata; Mammalia; Primates; Cheirogaleidae.
AAGCGUGUUCCUCGUCCUCGCUGUGCACGCCGGGAUGGCUCUGCCGCAGCUCCGCCCAGAAGCGGAGAGUUGGGAGUUAUGGCAUGAACAUGCUGUGCUGUUUUGGAGGAGGGGCUACAGCAAGUAAAUGGCAGAAGCUUUUCUACCUGAUUUGAUGAGAUUCUUCUUGGUUGCACUUUUCUUUUGUAAUUCAGCCACUGUACCAGAAAACGAUGUAAUCAAAUGUUGAUAUUACCGAGAGCUUCACCAGCCUAUGGCCUAGAGGAG